CCUACGGGCGGCAGCAGUGGGGAAUAUUGGGCAAUGGAGGGAACUCUGACCCAGCAACGCCGCGUGAAGGAUGAAGGUUUUCGGAUUGUAAACUUCUGUCGCGAGGGACGAAGAAUGACGGUACCUCGUAAGAAAGCCCCGGCUAACUACGUGCCAGCAGCCGCGGUAAUACGUAGGGGGCGAGCGUUGUCCGGAAUGACUGGGCGUAAAGGGAGUGUAGGCGGCUGUGCAAGUUAGAUGUGAAAUCCCAUGGCUUAACCAUGGAACUGCAUCUAAAACUGCAUAGCUGGAGUGCAGGAGAGGUGAGUGGAAUUCCUAGUGUAGCGGUGGAAUGCGUAGAUAUUAGGAGGAACACCAGAGGCGAAGGCGACUCACUGGACUGUAACUGACGCUGAGGCUCGAAAGCGUGGGGAGCAAACAGGAUUAGAUACCCGAGUA
This 438-nucleotide ribosomal RNA is filed under the name uncultured bacterium. Its description in RNAcentral is "bacterial SSU rRNA". It matches the Rfam family "Bacterial small subunit ribosomal RNA", at positions 338 to 792 of the family's 1533-position model. The record is from RNAcentral.